GAGCAUCGGACGCGCCGCCUCUGCCUUUUCCUUUUCACAUUUCCCCCUCCUUCCCUCCUGCCCUGCCUCCUCGGCCGGCGCGGCGCCCCAUGUACGUGGCUCGACCGACGGCGAUCGCCGGCCCUACCCCUACCGCCCGCGGCGCACGUCGCCUUCCGGCUCCGGGAUUGUUAAUUACCGUUUCGAAUCCAGCAGUUUGACAGCAAAGAGAAACAGAGGGAUCAUCGAGGAAAAAAAAAAGGGCUGGGCUACAAGCACAUCCAGAUCCAGGCUGGAGUAGGAGGCAGCUGAGCGAGUGUUGUUCCAGUGGUGCCUGCCAACGGAGGUGGCUGGCUCAUGAACAUUCACCCGUACAACCAGACAACCGUACAGCAAGUGCAGAAAAGAGGGACACCAAAUUUCAAUUUCAGGUACAUCUGCUAUUCUGCUUUGGGUCCUGUUUGUAAAGUUUAAUAUUCUGAGAAACAGCUGGAGAGAAGAUAGGGAAGCUGAAAAACCCAGUUUCUAGCUUGUUUCUAGCUUUUAAUUCAUUUUUUGGAUUCUGCAGCUACAGUUUCUCUCAAACUAAGUGAAAAUUAGAACUGUUUUUUUUGGGAGGGGUGGGGGGAGAGCUUUUGGCAGUAGCUUCUUCUAGAAGAAUCUUCAGCUGCCAGAAGCUCCCACAACCAGGCCCUUACUUCCUAGUUGCACUAGGCCUGUAAAGGUCCCAUUUGA
Molecule: long non-coding RNA, 714 nt
Organism: Oryza sativa Japonica Group (Japanese rice)
Lineage: Eukaryota; Viridiplantae; Streptophyta; Magnoliopsida; Poales; Poaceae
Source: RefSeq, a predicted model, not a curated record